AGGGUGGACAGGUGGUGCAUGGUUGUCGUCAGCUCGUGUCGUGAGAUGUUGGGUUAAGUCCCGCAACGAGCGCAACCCUCGACCUUAGUUGCCAGCAUUCAGUUGGGCACUCUAAGGUGACUGCCGGCUAAAAGUCGGAGGAAGGUGGGGAUGACGUCAAAUCAUCAUGCCCCUUAUGACCUGGGCUACACACGUGCUACAAUGGGCGGUACAAAGGGUCGCGAACCCGCGAGGGGGAGCCAAUCCCAAAAAGCCGCUCUCAGUUCGGAUUGCAGGCUGCAACUCGCCUGCAUGAAGCCGGAAUCGCUAGUAAUCGCGGAUCAGCACGCCGCGGUGAAUACGUUCCCGGGCCUU
RNAcentral lists this ribosomal RNA (354 nucleotides) under uncultured Anoxybacillus sp. Its description in RNAcentral is "bacterial SSU rRNA". It matches the Rfam family "Bacterial small subunit ribosomal RNA", at positions 1027 to 1382 of the family's 1533-position model. Lineage: Bacteria; Bacillati; Bacillota; Bacilli; Caryophanales; Anoxybacillaceae. The record is from RNAcentral.